Molecule: long non-coding RNA, 935 nt
Filed under: Elaeis guineensis (African oil palm)
Lineage: Eukaryota; Viridiplantae; Streptophyta; Magnoliopsida; Arecales; Arecaceae
Description: long non-coding RNA (EGUI_LNC074005)
Source: RNAcentral
ACCGAAAUAUCCGUGGGUGGAGCACAACCCGCCGUCCGUGCGCAUAAGGCCGCGGAACCGGCCGAAGGGGCGAGGGGGUUGGAGGCCACAGAUGGCAAGAAUGGGGUCAACCCGGCCAACGAGAGACGCCCCCCCCCCCAAGUCCGCACGUGCGCGGCCGCUAACACGACCGAAGGUGGACGGGGAGAUUGAGCGCUUGGACGGGGAGCGCGAGCUCAACCCAGCCAACGAACACCAUCCCACGUCUGCCCCCGUACAUUUCGGGCCAAUGCUGCACACCGGGGGAGGGGCACCCCAUACCAUCCCUGAGGGGGAUCUGGGCGAAUCCCACCCCGGGGGGUUCCAAAGUGCUGACCCGUAUUGCAAGCGGGGAGGGCCAGGACACGCUCCCCACGCACACGGGGAUACGGGGGGCAGGCGAUCGGGCAACGAGACCCGCGCGCCCGGGACAGGCAUCCAUGGUGAAGGGGUUGGGCAGCCCACAGCAAAGGGCCGAGCGAGUGGGGACGCGGAUGCCGAACCCCCUACCACCCCAGCGGGGCGUCCGGGCGGCUCCCACCUCGGGGGUUCCAAAUGAUCGAGCAGCAUCGCAAAUGGGGAGGGCCGGGACACGUGUCCCGCCUUUGUGGGCUUCGGAUGGUGGAUGGCCGGGCAUCGCAUCCCACGCACCGAGGGGGCUUGUCCCCGAGCAGACGGGCCGCGCAUCCCGCAUCCGUGGGCCAAGCCCGGGCUAAGCGGGAUGCGGAACCCCCUACCACCCUAGCGGGGCAUCCGGGCGGAUUCCACCCUGGGGGUUCCAAAUGAUCGAGCAGCAUUGCAAACGGGGAGGGCCGGGACGCGCGUCCCGCCUUCGCGGGAUUUGGACGCCGGGUGCCCGGGACUCGCAUCCCGUGCACCGAGGACUUGUCCCCGAGCGGCCGGGUCACGCAUCCCCC